GGAUGCGCGCCGCUUUGAGGUGCUUUCCUGCUUGCAGGUAAGUUAAACGGGAAACAGGUGAAAUACCUGUGCUGCCCCCGCAACGGUAAAUAAGUGUGGGUUUGUCAUCAUGCCACUGUGAGCAAUCAUGGGAAGGCGACAGAUCAAAACUUGUGAGCCCGGAUACCGGCCUGAUUGCAUACGAGCAG
This 188-nucleotide non-coding RNA is filed under the name Ferriphaselus amnicola. Lineage: Bacteria; Pseudomonadati; Pseudomonadota; Betaproteobacteria; Nitrosomonadales; Gallionellaceae. The record is from RNAcentral.